RNAcentral lists this ribosomal RNA (546 nucleotides) under uncultured bacterium. RNAcentral's name for it is "partial 16S ribosomal RNA". It matches the Rfam family "Bacterial small subunit ribosomal RNA", at positions 355 to 891 of the family's 1533-position model. The record is from RNAcentral.
UGGGGAAUUUUGGACAAUGGGCGCAAGCCUGAUCCAGCCAUGCCGCGUGCGGGAAGAAGGCCUUCGGGUUGUAAACCGCUUUUGUCAGGGAAGAAAUCUUCUGAGUUAAUACCUCGGGAGGAUGACGGUACCUGAAGAAUAAGCACCGGCUAACUACGUGCCAGCAGCCGCGGUAAUACGUAGGGUGCAAGCGUUAAUCGGAAUUACUGGGCGUAAAGCGUGCGCAGGCGGUUUUGUAAGACAGAGGUGAAAUCCCCGGGCUCAACCUGGGAACUGCCUUUGUGACUGCAAGGCUUGAGUGCGGCAGAGGGGGGAUGGAAUUCCGCGUGUAGCAGUGAAAUGCGUAGAUAUGCGGAGGAACACCGAUGGCGAAGGCAAUCCCCUGGGCCUGCACUGACGCUCAUGCACGAAAGCGUGGGGAGCAAACAGGAUUAGAUAGCCCUGGUAGUCCACGCCCUAAACGAUGUCAACUGGUUGUUGGGAAGGUUCCUUCUCAGUAACGUGAGCUAACGCGUGAAGUUGACCGCCUGGGGAGUACGGCCGCAA